Molecule: ribosomal RNA, 389 nt
Filed under: uncultured bacterium
Lineage: Bacteria
Description: bacterial SSU rRNA
Rfam family: Bacterial small subunit ribosomal RNA
Source: RNAcentral
GACGAACGCUGGCGGCGUGCUUAACACAUGCAAGUCGAGCGGUAAGGCCCUUUCGGGGGUACACGAGCGGCGAACGGGUGAGUAACACGUGGGUGACCUGCCCUCAGCUCUGGGAUAAGCCUGGGAAACCGGGUCUAAUACCGGAUAUGACUCCAUGACGCAUGUUGUGGGGUGGAAAGCCUUGUGCGGCUGAGGAUGGGCCCGCGGCCUAUCAGCUUGUUGGUGGGGUGAUGGCCUACCAAGGCGACGACGGGUAGCCGGCCUGAGAGGGCGACCGGCCACACUGGGACUGAGACACGGCCCAGACUCCUACGGGAGGCAGCAGUGGGGAAUCUUGCGCAAUGGGCGAAAGCCUGACGCAGCGGCGCGCGUGAGGGAUGACGGCCUGG